RNAcentral lists this ribosomal RNA (252 nucleotides) under uncultured Bacteroidales bacterium. RNAcentral's name for it is "partial 16S ribosomal RNA". It matches the Rfam family "Bacterial small subunit ribosomal RNA", at positions 524 to 776 of the family's 1533-position model. The record is from RNAcentral. Lineage: Bacteria; Pseudomonadati; Bacteroidota; Bacteroidia; Bacteroidales.
UACGGAGGAUUCAAGCGUUAUCCGGAUUUAUUGGGUUUAAAGGGUGCGCAGGCGGAAGAUCAAGUCAGCGGUAAAAUUGAGAGGCUCAACCUCUUCGAGCCGUUGAAACUGGUUUUCUUGAGUGAGCGAGAAGUAUGCGGAAUGCGUGGUGUAGCGGUGAAAUGCAUAGAUAUCGCGCAGAACUCCGAUUGCGAAGGCAGCAUGCCGGCUCCACACUGACGCUGAGGCACGAAAGCGUGGGUAUCGAACAGG